UGCGAACAGGCUCUCAAGCUGAAUUGAGAGCCUGCAUCGAUGACUAGUGAAUUUGAAUAUCUGCGUCUCAAAUCGUGACGCGAAAUUCUCAUUGGUCAGAUGCUAUAAUUUAUAUGUUUCCGCUGAGCUCUAUAUAUGUCAACUGCUGAAGCACUAUGCAUAAAAACACAUUAACUGAUCAAAUUGGUCUUGGCCAUCUUAUCUCAAAGCACAAAAUGUUCUGUUUUGAGAAAACAGUAUUUAAAACAUUUGAACUUUUGCUUGAAUAUCUUAUAUUUCGAAAAACAGUAUAAACUGUACGGUCUAAAUUUAGUUUGCACGGUCUAAAUUUAGUUUGCACGAAAGUUGUCAACAACACCAUAUAAGGA
Non-coding RNA from Paramuricea clavata, 368 nucleotides. Lineage: Eukaryota; Metazoa; Cnidaria; Anthozoa; Malacalcyonacea; Plexauridae. The record is from the annotation of a GenBank genome assembly.